GGGCAAGCCCGGCGCGGCGAAGCCUUUCGAACCCCGCCAGGGCUGAAAGGCAGCAACGGUAAGGAAGUCUCUUCGGGCGCCGCCGUCAGCCUGCCCGGC
This 99-nucleotide signal recognition particle RNA is filed under the name Chloroflexota bacterium. Its description in RNAcentral is "Chloroflexi bacterium signal recognition particle sRNA small type". It matches the Rfam family "Bacterial small signal recognition particle RNA". Rfam says of the family: The signal recognition particle (SRP) is a universally conserved ribonucleoprotein involved in the co-translational targeting of proteins to membranes. Archaeal SRP consists of a 7S RNA and homologues of the eukaryotic SRP19 and SRP54 proteins. In most bacteria, the SRP consists of a 4.5S RNA and the Ffh protein (a homologue of the eukaryotic SRP54 protein). The record is from RNAcentral. Lineage: Bacteria; Bacillati; Chloroflexota.